This 462-nucleotide ribosomal RNA is filed under the name Triticum aestivum (bread wheat). RNAcentral's name for it is "partial small subunit ribosomal RNA". The record is from RNAcentral. Lineage: Eukaryota; Viridiplantae; Streptophyta; Magnoliopsida; Poales; Poaceae.
AUGCAGAUCUUUGUGAAGACCCUCACCGGCAAGACCAUCACCCUUGAGGUCGAGUCCUCUGACACGAUUGACAAUGUCAAGGCGAAGAUCCAGGACAAGGAGGGCAUCCCUCCGGACCAGCAGCGCCUCAUCUUCGCUGGCAAGCAGCUUGAGGACGGUCGCACCCUCGCUGACUACAACAUCCAGAAGGAGUCCACCCUCCACCUGGUGCUCCGCCUCAGGGGUGGUAUGCAGAUCUUCGUUAAGACCCUCACCGGCAAGACCAUCACGCUCGAGGUCGAGUCAUCUGACACCAUUGACAAUGUGAAGGCGAAGAUCCAGGACAAGGAGGGCAUCCCACCGGACCAGCAGCGCCUCAUCUUUGCUGGUAAGCAGCUCGAGGACGGCCGCACCCUCGCUGACUACAACAUCCAGAAGGAGUCCACCCUCCACCUGGUGCUCCGUCUCCGUGGUGGCCAGUAA